UAACUGAAAUUUUAAAAUAAAAAAAAAGGAAUUGGGCCAAGAUUGGGUCAGACCCUUUCCUGACCCGAUUUGCCUUUGCAACUUAAAGGGGAGCAAACGAAACCCUAGGGGAAUAUGGCCAAACGGCCGCCCCCAUUGCCUGAACUUCCUCUUCACGUAAUGCAAAGAAACUAAAGGCCACAUAAGUUUUUCCUACUAUGGUGCUCACGACAUCGUCCGACUCGUUUCACACGGAGAUGUCUCGCCCCUCUUUUCCGCUUCACUCUCACGCGGUCCUGCCCUAGAAUCCGCGACGGCGAGGGCCUCUAUUCUCCGCUUCACUCUUAUGCGGUCCCUCCUUAGAAUCCGCGACAGCGAGUGCGACUUUGGCCGCCCACACGCUCGCAGCGGCGUCCGACCUUCUACCCACAAACUCGACUGCUCUAGCCUCACUGCUUCAACCGAUAUUUGUUUGUUCCGCCAUGGAUGUUACCAAGUUAUGAUGCAAGCAUAUAAACAAAAACAAAAGCGGAAAUAAAAAGACUCAUAGGGAGUUCCAGGACAAAAAUUCUGCUCCAAGUCACUUGUCCAAGUUGACACUAAGGUUGAUGAGCGGAAAAAUGGGUUCCAUACUUUUCUUUUUUUAAAUGUAAUUUGUUACUGUAAAAAAAAUUAUACCUUAUUAUAAUGUAAAAACUGAUUUUUAUA
Long non-coding RNA from Lathyrus oleraceus (garden pea), 687 nucleotides. RefSeq lists it as uncharacterized. The transcript has 2 exons. The record is from RefSeq and is a predicted model, not a curated record. NCBI's taxonomy places the organism in Eukaryota, Viridiplantae, Streptophyta, Magnoliopsida, Fabales, Fabaceae.